This 677-nucleotide non-coding RNA is filed under the name Enterocytozoon bieneusi H348. RNAcentral's name for it is "Archaeal large subunit ribosomal RNA". It matches the Rfam family "Archaeal large subunit ribosomal RNA", at positions 1 to 931 of the family's 2987-position model. Lineage: Eukaryota; Fungi; Microsporidia; Enterocytozoonidae. The record is from Rfam by way of RNAcentral.
GUGUAUUUGGAAAUAUCCCUAAUACAGGAUCACUUGGAUCCGUCGGCGAUGACGAGCGCGAAAGAAUGCGAAAAGUCCUCACGGAAUGCUCUAAUUAUGAGAUAAUCUCAUGGAUACUCCCUGGACUUAAGCAUAUCAUUAAGGGAAGGAAAAGAAACUAACUAGGAUUCCGUUAGUAGUGGCGAAUGAACACGGAAGAGCUCCAAUGGUAAAGCCUAAGUGCUGUUGUAAUGUAGCCUCCGAAAACAUUCUGGAAAGGAUGACCACAGUGGGUGAUAGUCCCAGAGGAGGAUGUAAAGAAUAGAGUAGUGCUGCUUGGUAGUGCAGUAUGAAGAGGAGGUAGAAACUUCUAAAGCUAAAUACAGACGGAUACCGAUAGAGAAGAAGUAGUGCGAACGAAAGUUGAAAAGAUCUCAUCUAGAGAAUGAAAAGUGAAAGUAUUAGGGCGUAAGCUGAUGACAUCAGACCCGUAUUGAAACACGGACCAAGGAGACUUUGAGUAUAGCGAGGCGAAGGAUGUGAGUCCCACCCGCGAGAAUCUACAGUUAUACUGAUAGACCCGAAAGCAGUGACUAUACUGCUCUGCUGACGCCCGGCAACCGUGGUGAGAGCUAGUCUAUUGUGUCACUCUUGACGGAGUGGUUAGGGCAAAACCAUCGACUGCUGUACUGGUCGGC